This 253-nucleotide ribosomal RNA is filed under the name uncultured bacterium. Its description in RNAcentral is "partial 16S ribosomal RNA". It matches the Rfam family "Bacterial small subunit ribosomal RNA", at positions 524 to 776 of the family's 1533-position model. The record is from RNAcentral.
UACGGAGGGUGCAAACGUUGCUCGGAAUCAUUGGGCGUAAAGCGCACGUAGGCGGUCCAGCAUGUCGGGUGUGAAAGCCCUCGGCUCAACCGAGGAAGUGCAUUCGAAACUACGGGACUUGAAUACUGGAGAGGGUCGCGGAAUUCCCGGUGUAGAGGUGAAAUUCGUAGAUAUCGGGAGGAACACCAGUGGCGAAGGCGGCGACCUGGACAGAUAUUGACGCUGAGGUGCGAAAGCGUGGGGAGCAAACAGG